RNAcentral lists this ribosomal RNA (470 nucleotides) under uncultured bacterium. Its description in RNAcentral is "bacterial SSU rRNA". It matches the Rfam family "Bacterial small subunit ribosomal RNA", at positions 30 to 507 of the family's 1533-position model. The record is from RNAcentral.
AUUGAACGCUGGCGGAACGCUUUACACAUGCAAGUCGAACGGUAACGCGGAGAGAAGCUUGCUUCUCUCCGGCGACGAGUGGCGAACGGGUGAGUAAUACAUCGGAACGUGUCCGCUCGUGGGGGACAACCAGCCGAAAGGUUGGCUAAUACCGCAUGAGUUCUACGGAAGAAAGAGGGGGACCCGCAAGGGCCUCUCGCGAGCGGAGCGGCCGAUGACUGAUUAGCCUGUUGGUGAGGUAACGGCUCACCAAAGCAACGAUCAGUAGCUGGUCUGAGAGGACGACCAGCCACACUGGGACUGAGACACGGCCCAGACUCCUACGGGAGGCAGCAGUGGGGAAUUUUGGACAAUGGGCGCAAGCCUGAUCCAGCUAUUCCGCGUGUGGGAUGAAGGCCUCGGGUUGUAAACUCCUGUUGUUGAGGAAGAUAAUGACGGUACUUGACUAAGAAGCCCCGGCUAAAUACGUG